AUCCUGGCUCAGGACGAACGCUGGCGGCGCGCUUAACACAUGCAAGUCGAGCGAGAACCAGGUCUUCGGACUUGGGGAAAGCGGCGAACGGGUGAGUAACACGUGGGUAAUCUGCCCUCGGCAUCGGGAUAGCCCGGGGAAACCCGGAUUAAUACCGAAUAGCCUCCGGAGCCUUCGGGCGACGGAGAAAAGGUGGCUUCGGCUUCCGGCUGGGGAUGAGCCCGCGGCGGAUUAGCUUGUUGGCGGGGUAACGGCCCACCAAGGCGACGAUCCGUAGCUGGUCUGAGGGGACGAUCAGCCACACUGGGACUGAGACACGGCCCAGACUCCUACGGGAGGCAGCAGUGGGGAAUCUUGCGCAAUGGGCGAAAGCCUGACGCAGCGACGCCGCGUGCGGGAAGAAGGCUUCGGGUUGUAAACCGCUUUCAGGAGGGACGAAGCCACCGGGUUAAUACCCCAGAGGGUGACGGUACUCAAAGAAGCCCGGCUAAAAAUGC
Molecule: ribosomal RNA, 497 nt
Filed under: uncultured bacterium
Lineage: Bacteria
Description: bacterial SSU rRNA
Rfam family: Bacterial small subunit ribosomal RNA
Source: RNAcentral